GUUGUAUGGUUAAGUGACUAAGCGUACACGGUGGAUGCCUGGGCAGUCAGAGGCGAUGAAGGACGUACUAACUUGCGAUAAGCGCAGAUAAGGCAGUAAGAGCCGUUUGAGUCUGCGAUUUCCGAAUGGGGAAACCCAACUGCAUAAGCAGUUACUGUUAACUGAAUACAUAGGUUAACAGAGCAAACCGGGGGAACUGAAACAUCUAAGUACCCCGAGGAGAAGAAAUCAACCGAGAUUCCGGUAGUAGCGGCGAGCGAACCUGGAUUAGCCCUUAAGCACUCGGUGAAGUAGGUGAACAAGCUGGAAAGCUUGGCGAUACAGGGUGAUAGCCCCGUAACCGACGCUUCAUCGAGCGUGAAAUCGAGUAGGGCGGGACACGUGAUAUCCUGUCUGAAUAUGGGGGGACCAUCCUCCAAGGCUAAAUACUCCUGACUGACCGAUAGUGAACCAGUACCGUGAGGGAAAGGCGAAAAGAACCCCUGUGAGGGGAGUGAAAUAGAACCUGAAACCGUGUACGUACAAGCAGUAGGAGCACCUUCGUGGUGUGACUGCGUACCUUUUGUAUAAUGGGUCAGCGACUUAUAUUCAGUGGCAAGGUUAACCGUAUAGGGGAGCCGUAGCGAAAGCGAGUCUUAACUGGGCGCUCAGUCUCUGGAUAUAGACCCGAAACCGGGUGAUCUAGCCAUGGGCAGGUUGAAGGUUGAGUAACAUCAACUGGAGGACCGAACCGACUAAUGUUGAAAAAUUAGCGGAUGACUUGUGGCUAGGGGUGAAAGGCCAAUCAAACUCGGAGAUAGCUGGUUCUCCCCGAAAGCUAUUUAGGUAGCGCCUCGGACGAAUACUACUGGGGGUAGAGCACUGUUAAGGCUAGGGGGUCAUCCCGACUUACCAACCCUUUGCAAACUCCGAAUACCAGUAAGUACUAUCCGGGAGACACACGGCGGGUGCUAACGUCCGUCGUGGAGAGGGAAACAACCCAGACCGCCAGCUAAGGUCCCAAAGUAUUGCUAAGUGGGAAACGAUGUGGGAAGGCUCAGACAGCUAGGAUGUUGGCUUAGAAGCAGCCAUCAUUUAAAGAAAGCGUAAUAGCUCACUAGUCGAGUCGGCCUGCGCGGAAGAUGUAACGGGGCUAAGCAAUACACCGAAGCUGCGGCAAUGUCUUUUAGAUAUUGGGUAGGGGAGCGUUCUGUAAGCCGUUGAAGGUGAAUCGUAAGGUUUGCUGGAGGUAUCAGAAGUGCGAAUGCUGACAUGAGUAACGACAAAGGGGGUGAAAAACCUCCUCGCCGGAAGACCAAGGGUUCCUGUCCAACGUUAAUCGGGGCAGGGUGAGUCGACCCCUAAGGUGAGGCCGAAAGGCGUAAUCGAUGGGAAACGGGUUAAUAUUCCCGUACUUCUGACUAUUGCGAUGGGGGGACGGAGAAGGCUAGGUGGGCCAGGCGACGGUUGUCCUGGUUCAAGUGCGUAGGCUUGAGAGUUAGGUAAAUCCGGCUCUCU
This 1497-nucleotide ribosomal RNA is filed under the name Vibrio cholerae. Its description in RNAcentral is "partial 23S ribosomal RNA". It matches the Rfam family "Bacterial large subunit ribosomal RNA", at positions 1 to 1551 of the family's 2925-position model. Lineage: Bacteria; Pseudomonadati; Pseudomonadota; Gammaproteobacteria; Vibrionales; Vibrionaceae. The record is from RNAcentral.